RNAcentral lists this transfer RNA (73 nucleotides) under Marmota monax (woodchuck). It matches the Rfam family "tRNA". From Rfam's summary of the family: Transfer RNA (tRNA) molecules are approximately 80 nucleotides in length. Their secondary structure includes four short double-helical elements and three loops (D, anti-codon, and T loops). Lineage: Eukaryota; Metazoa; Chordata; Mammalia; Rodentia; Sciuridae. The record is from Rfam by way of RNAcentral.
GGGAAUAUAGCUCAGUUGGUAGAGUGCUUGCCUCUCUUGCACAAUGCCCUGAGUUCAAUCCCCAGCAUUCCCC